Molecule: long non-coding RNA, 569 nt
Organism: Leopardus geoffroyi (Geoffroy's cat)
Lineage: Eukaryota; Metazoa; Chordata; Mammalia; Carnivora; Felidae
Exons: 2
Source: RefSeq, a predicted model, not a curated record
GUUCUGGGUCGUAGGGUGACCUUACCACCAGCAGUGCAGCAGCUGGGCACAGGUAUCACCUGUCACUGUGGCCUGAGAGACCUGGUCACAUUAUUGGCCGACUGUAAUUUGGGAUUUUCGUUUAUUUUUUGAGGGGGAGGGGAAGAAAAAAAAUACAGAGGCGUGGUAAAAAUAGGGUCAGGGUCACGUCCAGCCCAAGCUAUAGAGGCUUCCUAGGACAGUGGCCUCCAAUUUUUGUGGUCAGGACUCAUGGGCACUCUAAAGGUCUGCAAGGCCGUGGAGAGCUUGCAUUGCAAGGGUUACACCUACUGAUACCCAGCAGGUAAGAGAAGGUUUCACAUAUUUAUUCAUUCAUUCGUUUAAAACAAUUAAAGGUUCAUUUUUGUGUGAACUUAAAUAUUAUGAAAAUAACUUUACCACCCGCCUACCCCCCUCAAAAUUAGCAAAAAUGUAACUGUUUUACAUUUCCACAGAUGUCUUUAAUGUCUGACUUAGCAAAGGAUAGGAAGAUUCACGUUUCUGCUUCUGCACUCAAUUUGUUCGAUAUGUUGUUUUGGUUGAAGUACAUG